RNAcentral lists this long non-coding RNA (748 nucleotides) under Homo sapiens (human). RNAcentral's name for it is "HSALNT0274646". Lineage: Eukaryota; Metazoa; Chordata; Mammalia; Primates; Hominidae. The record is from RNAcentral.
GAGCUCACUGAGGCCACGCCAGGCAGGGGGGCUCGGGCACCGCCUUCACCUCCUGCCAAGAUCCUUGAGUUUCACUAAGAGCCUCCUUGCUGUCAGCGUGCCCCUGCGAGGGGCCCUGCCGGCGUGACGAGGCAGUCCGGCCUCUGGGUCAGCCUUCUUGGCCAGAUGACUUGCAGGUGACCAGGGCUGUAGAGGGGCAGCUGAGGCAGCAGGGAGGGAGGCCGCUGGGGACCCCAAGCACUGGCUCUGGCCCGUAUGGGUCCUCAGGUGGAUGGUUCAGCCAGAGGCACCAUGGCUGCCUGGAGACUGCGGAGCUGGGAGCAGGGACUAGGCAGGGGUCGGGCUGAGCUCACAGGGAUCUUUGCUUAUCCAGGGGGAGAGGUUUUCUGCAGGAAGACUUAGGACUGCGAGUGGGGCUUGGAUUUUUGGGAUUCCAGCCCGGGAGGGUGGCUUCCUGUGAGUCCUGGGCCACUCCUUGGGUAGCCCACAUGCCCCAUUUUAUGCGGCCGUUAAGACAUCUGGACUCUGUCCCAUGGCUGCUGGAGGCAUCUGCCUGCCUCUCCCGUCUGUCUCUCCUGUCCUGUCUCUGGGACAAGAGGGGGUUGGGGUAGCGGCCUGCGCAGUCUCUAAUAGCAGGGAGGGUCCCCAGGGCACCCUCCCCUCAGCCUCCAGGAAUAAGUGCAUCAGCUUCCCCUCCUCCCUACCCCGGGGCCUCGAGGUGGGGCCCCCAAGAUUGUUUUCGGCUCAG